AAAUUAAUUACUUAAUUAAUUGGGUUAAUUUUAUACAGUGUGAAUUGCAAAUAUAUUCCUAUAAAGUUCAACUCUCAUAUAUUGUAUCUGUAAAAGUCUUGAUAUUUUCAAAUAUGUUCCGACACCGCCGUUAGGAUCAGUUAGAAAAAAUUAGCUGAUUAUAUAACUAAUAGGUAAAAUAUUUAACCUUAGUUAAUUAAUAAGAUGAAUUGACCUUUUUAUCCUUCUUUAAUAAAUAAUUUAGACUUUUAGGUAGACGUAUUUGUGAUGACAAAAAGGUCGACAUUUUACUUAUAAAAUAAACAGUAUUUUAACAGUAACAAAUCAGAAGAAUAUAUUUAAAAAUGUUAAGAUUUUUACAGGGACAAUAUAUGAAAGUUGAAUAUUUGUAGGGACCUAUAUAAAAUUAACCCUAAUUAAUUAAUUAAUUACAAGUUAAUAA
This 442-nucleotide long non-coding RNA is filed under the name Ananas comosus (pineapple). RNAcentral's name for it is "long non-coding RNA (ACOM_LNC000412)". The record is from RNAcentral. Lineage: Eukaryota; Viridiplantae; Streptophyta; Magnoliopsida; Poales; Bromeliaceae.